UAAGUCAGGCACAGCUAAACAAG
Molecule: non-coding RNA, 23 nt
Filed under: Mus musculus (house mouse)
Lineage: Eukaryota; Metazoa; Chordata; Mammalia; Rodentia; Muridae
Also listed under: 1 other name
Source: RNAcentral